CCAAACCUUCCUCAGCUUUUCACACUAGUUUCUGUAAAUGUGUUAGUUCAGAAUUUAAUGCUUGUACAGUUGACGGCAAUUUAAAAAAUAUAUAUUAUAUAUAUAUAUACACAUAUAUAUAUAUGGGAAAACUUUAAAGAUGCUUUUAAUUUAUUUAAUGACUGUUGCUUUUCUAUAAUGGUAAUUUUCAUCCUUAGAUGGUGAGAAGAAAUUCUUUUUACUAUAGUUAUUACAUGGAAAGUGAAAUUUGGUUCUUUAGUCAAAUCCACUGCUGGGACAUGUCGCAGUGAGACUGUGCAAGACACGUCACUACUGAUGGAUAAGUUUUGCUGACUUUGUAUCAUUUUCCUCCAGUAAUGGAGAGCUUUUCAUUAUACAAUAUGAAAAUAAAAAUUGCUUAAUUGAAUGCUUCCCCAUUCUUCUCUACUAUACUGUGCUGCGUUUGAAAAGAAGUUACAGAGGUUGGGCACAGAGUUGAACAUUUUCACAUGGUGUUCUGAGUGGGGCGUUGCCACCCACUAUCAACAAAGUAUGGUUACCUCGUGGAAAAAAAACUGAAACACACCCAGAAGGAGGAAACUUGUCUUCCGAACUGGAGAAACUCCACUUGAAUUCUUUUGUGUUUGUUUGGUUUUAACCACAAAGUCCCCAUUUCUUAUUUGGAGAUAUUUUUCCCCCCUCUGGGAGCCUGACUCCCUGUUUUGACAAUAACAUGACCUCACCACAUAUUGUUAGAGUAUUCUAGGUACAUUUUAGACGAUAAGCAUUUAACUGUAGUUAAUCUGAUCAUCGGGGUAGAUUGCUUUAUUUUUGUUUAAGCUCUUGUCUUCCCUUGAAGAAAAAGAAUGACCUGAUGUUAAGAAGUAAAUCAUAAUUUCCUAUUUUUGCACUCAUUUAAUCUAUAUCAGAUUUAUUCAGACUGUGAAGUUUAAUUAAAAUCUAUAGCAUUUUGGAAUUUUUAGACACUUUAGAGAUCAUCUUGAACAACUUUCUUCACCUCUUUGGGUCUCAAUUUACUCAUCUAUAAGAUGAGGCGAUGAAUUUCCUGCCUCAUAAGCUUGUUGUAAUGUUUAAUAAGACAAUACAUGCAGAUGAUUUCACCAAGUGCUUGAAACAGAAUACUUGGUUAUUGUCAGUUAUUAUUAUUAUCUUUAUAAUUAUUAUCUAAUUCAGUCUUCCCAUUUUCCAAAUAAGGACUUGUAGACAUGUUAGAGUUUACACCCACUGGAAUGUCUACUGACUGUGCCCUCCACUAAAAACUCGCUCCCAUCAACAAGGGAUGGUUUCCUUGACAUGACAAACAUGGGCAUCGGACAAACGCUGGACCAGGGCUGGUAAACCUGGGAGGAGAUGCAGCAGCAACGCUGCCCGGGAGGGUUGUAAUUCUCUUACAUCAGGCAAGCAACGUCUAAAUUGUUCAGUCUCAGAACUGCAGAUAAGUUCUAUGUCACUAUUAUCAAGUGACUAUCGACCAGUUAAACUAAAACAUACCGUAAGGUUUUAUACAUUCAGAUCUGCAACACACAAGAUUACGAAUCCAUGAAACUUUUCUUCAUGGUCUUUGAUCACAACUGGAUGUUCUCAGACCUUGAGUUUUUAAAUUCAAUUUUUUUUUGUUCUAGUAUUUGUCUUUUUCAUUUGCAUUUGCUGUAAUCCUGGAGUCCAGCCCUGGCCUUGUUAAGCUCUGGGCUUGUGCACUUUGCUAUGUUCCUUCACCUACUUUCUCUUAGGGCAUCUUACAGCAUAAGGGACCUAGUCAGUGGUAUUGUAACAGCCUUGUAUGGGGGCAGAGGGUGGCUGCAGUGGUGGUGAGCACAGCCUCACGUGUAGACUUCUCGAAUGGCUGCAGUGUACACUUGAAGGUAACGUAACGUUGUGUGUCAACCACACUCAAAUUAAAAGAACAUAAAAAAUAGAUUUGUAAAGAGAGUACAGCGUGGAGUUAGGAGCUCAGGCUUGGAGUCAGACUGUCGCAUCAGAAUCUCGACUCUGUCACUAACCACAUGACUUGUGCAAGUUGCAAAACCUGUGUCCACUUCCAUGACCUCAUGUGUUAAGUAAGAAUGAAACAUAGACCCUCUUGCAGAGCUGGAAGGAUUACUUGAGUUGUUGCCUAUGAAGCUUUACAGCUUCAAUGUUCUAGAAAAUAUUAUAGAUAUAUUAUAUUAUAGCUUUUUGAUGUAUUAGAUGUAUUUUAUGUGUUUCUGUGAAUGAGUCCUUUGACCUGAGAAGUAGGAUUUCAGGUAUUAUUCCCAGUUUAUUCACCAAGGAGAAUAAUUGCCUCCGCCGAGGUAGGAGCCGUGUUGGUGGCAGAGCUGGGGGUCACAGAGUAGUGGACUUGCUCUGAUCGUCCCGUUCUCCACUUUGCUUCCCAUGCCUCUUCCCAGAGAAAGCUGUCAAGUAAAUAUUCUCUCAGAGUUCAGAGAAAUAUGGAGGAAAUGGACCAAGGCCUCAGACAGGGAGCAAAAAAUAAGCUUCAGUCUUUAGUAAGGGCAACAUUUGUUUAAUGUUUGGGUCUGAGCCUGUUUGCCUGAAUUGGAUUUCCUGCCUCAUUGUAGGUCAACCCCAGCGGGUAUGGAGACUGUCCGUGGAGCUAAGGUCCCGAAAGAUGGAAAAGGUGUGCUUUGUGUAGAUGAUCCUAAAAAGGAAAAAGUCAAAGAGGGGCUGAACUUCCGGUUGCCAUUUUCCCCCAUGAUCAGUCAGACAAGUUGACCCCUUAAAAAGAAAGAGUGGAGACAGGAACUGAAAAUAUCACUUCACUACUCUCCUGGAAGAGAGCACACAGGACUCUUUUUCCCUGUAUGGGAAACUGGAAGUCCAGUAUUACGAGGAACCUCCUCUUCCAACUCCUGUAGUGCCGUCGCAAUGGGAAGCUAUGCCCUUCCGCAUAUCCCAUUAAGCAUGAAGAACCCGAAAGAACAAGUUUAUGAUGUUUGCGUGUAAUCUUCAGUCUUCACCUCUCCCCACUGAGGAAUAUGGGCCCAUGGGUAGACGGCCAAUUCUCAGACUUUCACGAUUUGGAUCAACCACUGCCUUCCCAUGAGGAAGAGCCAGGAGAGGAGAGAGAAGUAGGACGUGUCUUCUACCACAGUGUCCUUUUAUCCAGCAGGGGUAAAAUUGAACCCCAUUUAUGGAAAGGUGAGGAAUGGGUAAAACUGACCCCCCAAGAUAAACUAUGUUAUGAACUGUCUCCUAUCACCUUUUUAACUUAUACUGAACAUUUAUUACGAAUCUAAAAGGAGCAAAUGUGGUAUACGGUAAUCAUUUCAGUUAGUGAUUGGGAUGUGGUUUUGUAGGAAUUCCUCGGUCCUGUUUAUUAUUCCUAUUUUCUCCAGGACAAUCAAAAGACAUGGAAAAAAUAAUCCAACUUUGGUUGCCUUGAGUCGAAGGCCAGAGUGGUCUGGGUGUUGGAGCUGCAGCCUGCAGGAGAGUGAGGUCUACCUGCGAGACAGUUGGGAGCUGCUCCCAUUAACGAGAUCUGGAAGGUCUGGGAAUACACAUGUGAACAAAACCACCCCGCUGCUUGCUCUCCAAGGGCUCACAGUCUUACGGACGCAAGAGAUGAUUCUGCAGGCAAAGCACAGUGACCCAAAAAGAUGCUAAGAAAGCCAGGUAGGGUCCGAACCCCUCAGAGAGUCCCACUACCUCAUCUGGAGAGCAGCAGCCAGCAACUCUCUUCUUGACCCAACAGGUAGUACGGAUGAUUGCUGCUGUCGCCGGCGGACCAUCGGGGUGCAAUUUUCCAACUGGUAGGAAGCUGGGCUUCCAGCCAGGAACCAUCCGGAUACUGCAGGAGCCAUUUCCUGGCACCUGAGACUAAUGGUUCCAGAGCAUCUGGUCAUAAGUUCAAUAAACAUUUAUUGAGCACGUACAAUAUGCUAGGCACCAUGGAUGUAAAGUCACACAACACACCAUGGGGACGCUGACAUGCAAGUGAGUAACCGAAAUGCCCCAUAAGUGCACCACAGACUCGUGCUCAGGGCAUCCUCAGAGUCUCCUGCCCCACCCCACAAGGCAGUCCUUCAGACUCAGCGCCGACGAUCACGCACCAACCACCAGGAAUGUUGCACAGUCUGAGAGAAUCACAUUAAGAACCAGAAUGGCCACCUGUCCUACUUGGCCCAGGUCAGUCCCCAGAUCCCAUCUUGCUCUGGCGUAACUAAAGCAUCCCCUCUUUCACUCUCAAAAAUGAUCCUGCUUGUUUGAUAAAUGAUACAGUCAACCAACCGAGGUCUCAUGAAGGUUGAUAUCUGCUUGGCUCUAGCACACAGGAAACGGUUUCCUGCUCUUUUCUGGAACCCUGACUAGGCGCGGAGCCUAGUGCUGGGUGCUAGGGUCCCCCACUCUUCCAGAGAGCCAGAGGCAAGGGCAUUAUCCUGCCCUACUGAUGAGGACAUGAAAUUUUAGGGAGUUCAGUUACUUCCCAGGAGUCACAAAGAUAUUAAAGGGUAAUACUGGGAUUCAAACACGAGUGUUUCUCGCUUCUUGUAGCCACAGAAGGGUAAGUUUGACAACUACAUUAAGGACCAGAGAAGAGUGAUUCUCAGAGAAGCUGUGGAAAACAAAGUAGUUGAUCGGGUGCGAGACACUCUGGACCUGGACCUUCACGGUAGAGACAGGAGGUCUACGGACGCCCCAGCCUGUGAAAGGCCCGAUCCUCGUCCACCCCCACCCUCUCCUUGUCUAGGCUGAGCCCUCCACCACCAUUUCUUCAUCUCAGACGGCGGGAUUCGGACCACAGCGCAUGCACCGGCGCAGGGGUGGCUGACUGAGGAAGCUGGUGGGGGUGGGAAUGUGUCCCCACCACACAAGCUCUCUGCUGGGCUGCCUCCCUCCGAGACAGACUUUGUGUCUUUGCAAGUUUCCUUUUCCCUCCUUCCGUAUGGAGACCUAAUCUAACGCCUCCGGGAUAUGAGAAGAGAGAACUCUUCACCAGUGAAAUGGAACUUUCAUGGUCUGUGAAAGAUACAUCUCUUUUGUUAGUCUCUUUAUUCACCUCUGCAGUACUAUAAACCGAAGCAGGAAAUUAUACUUUCACAUUAGGAAACAUUGUAGAAGGCACAGUUAGAGCGUUUCAUGGAAAUAUGUCCCAGUUGCUUAGGCUUUAAUUUCCUUCUUCCAUAAAAAUUGCUUAAUUGGUUUAUGUGAUAAUAAAACUAAUCUAUCAUAAUUGUGGGCAAUAGAGACAACAGAGAAAGGUAUAAAAAUAAAGUGGAAAUUGUAAUCUCACCACUGAGAAAUAACCAUUAGUAACGUUUUAAUGAUAUGUUCCUGGAUAUUUUUCCAUGCUAAUUCAUGUACAUAUGCUAUUUAUUAUUUCAAAUAAAAUUGUGGUAUACUUUUCUAA
Mustela lutreola (European mink) is the source of this 5347-nucleotide long non-coding RNA. RefSeq lists it as uncharacterized. The record is from RefSeq and is a predicted model, not a curated record. NCBI's taxonomy places the organism in Eukaryota, Metazoa, Chordata, Mammalia, Carnivora, Mustelidae. The transcript has 2 exons.